Molecule: small nuclear RNA, 130 nt
Organism: Bos grunniens (domestic yak)
Lineage: Eukaryota; Metazoa; Chordata; Mammalia; Artiodactyla; Bovidae
Gene: U4
Rfam family: U4 spliceosomal RNA
About the family: U4 small nuclear RNA (U4 snRNA) is a component of the major U2-dependent spliceosome. The structure of U4 snRNA from yeast and human has been reported.
Source: Ensembl
AGCUUUGCACAGUGGCAGUAUCGUAGCCAAUGAGGUUUAUCCAAGCUGCGAUUAUUGCUAAUUGAAAAGAAUCUAAUCUUCAGUACCCAUUUUUACUUAGGGGUGUGAUUACUGCCUUGAUUGCUCUCUC